UUAGAUACCCUAUUAUUUUGAAUAAAAUUUAGUUGCCUGGUUAGUAAUAGUUAUGUUCUUGAAAAUUAAAGAAGAUGGCGGUAUUUUAGUCUAUUCAGAGGAACCUGUCCUAUAAUUGAUGAUCCACGAUUUAUUAUACUUAUUUUUUUAGUUUGCAUAUCGCCGUAGAUUGAAUAUUUUUAAAGGAGUAAAACGUUCAAGAGGUUAUUUUUGAAAAUAAAUCAGGUCAAGAUGUAGCUUAUAAAUAAGAAGAGAUGGGUUACAAUAAAUUUAUUUAUAGCGAAUUAAUAGUUGAAAAUUAUUAUGAAGAUGGAUUUGAUAGUAAUAUUAUUUAAAUUUAUAAUAUGAUUUUAGCUCUAAAGUAUGUACACAUCGCCCGUCG
Molecule: ribosomal RNA, 382 nt
Filed under: Pantomorus sp. 1 MVRE-2011
Lineage: Eukaryota; Metazoa; Arthropoda; Insecta; Coleoptera; Curculionidae
Description: partial 12S ribosomal RNA
Source: RNAcentral